RNAcentral lists this transfer RNA (67 nucleotides) under Hiatula chinensis. RNAcentral describes it as "tRNA-Ala". Lineage: Eukaryota; Metazoa; Mollusca; Bivalvia; Cardiida; Psammobiidae. The record is from RNAcentral.
AGCGCUAUACUUUAAGUUAAAAGGUUAGAGUUGCAUACUAAUAAUGAGAUUAUUUACUCUGGUGCUG